This 492-nucleotide ribosomal RNA is filed under the name uncultured bacterium. RNAcentral describes it as "partial 16S ribosomal RNA". It matches the Rfam family "Bacterial small subunit ribosomal RNA", at positions 29 to 507 of the family's 1533-position model. The record is from RNAcentral.
AGUGAACGCUGGCGGUGGGCCUAACACAUGCGAGUUGAACGGCAGCACAGUAAGAGCUUGCUCUUACGGGUGGCGAGUGGCGGACGGGUGAGGAAUACAUCGGAAUCUACUUUUUCGUGGGGGAUAACGUAGGGAAACUUACGCUAAUACCGCAUACGACCUACGGGUGAAAGCAGGGGAUCUUCGGACCUUGCGCGAUUGAAUGAGCCGAUGUCGGAUUAGCUAGUUGGCGGGGUAAAGGCCCACCAAGGCGACGAUCCGUAGCUGGUCUGAGAGGAUGAUCAGCCACACUGGAACUGAGACACGGUCCAGACUCCUACGGGAGGCAGCAGUGGGGAAUAUUGGACAAUGGGCGCAAGCCUGAUCCAGCCAUACCGCGUGGGUGAAGAAGGCCUUCGGGUUGUAAAGCCCUUUUGCUGGGAAAGAAAAGCAGCAGGUUAAUACCCCGCUGUUCUGACGGUACCCAAAGAAUAAGCACCGGCUAACUUCGUG